CCUACGGGUGGCAGCAGUAGGGAAUAUUGCUCAAUGGGGGAAACCCUGACGCAGCAACGCCGCGUGGAGGAUGAAGGUUUUCGGGUUGUAAACUCCUUUUGUUAGAGAAGAUUAUGACGGUAUCUAACGUCUAAGCACCGGCUCACUCCGUGCCAGCCGCCGCGGUAAUACGGAGGGGGCAAGCGUUUCUCGGAAUCACUGGGCGUAAAGAGCGCGUAGGCGGGGUAGCAAGUCAGGUGUGAAAUCCUAGGGCUUAACCAUAGAACUGCAUUUGAAACUGUUAUUCUUGAGUAUGGGAGAGGUAGGUGGAAUUCUUGGUGUAGGGGUAAAAUCCGUAGAGAUCAAGAGGAACACUAAUGGCGAAGGCGAAUUGCUAGAACAUAACUGACGCUGAUGCGCGAAAGCGUGGGGAGCAAACAGGAUUAGAUACCCCUGUAGUC
Molecule: ribosomal RNA, 440 nt
Filed under: uncultured bacterium
Lineage: Bacteria
Description: partial 16S ribosomal RNA
Rfam family: Bacterial small subunit ribosomal RNA
Source: RNAcentral